RNAcentral lists this ribosomal RNA (474 nucleotides) under uncultured bacterium. Its description in RNAcentral is "SSU rRNA". It matches the Rfam family "Bacterial small subunit ribosomal RNA", at positions 26 to 518 of the family's 1533-position model. The record is from RNAcentral.
AGGACGAACGCUGGCGGCGUGCUUAACACAUGCAAGUCGAGCGGUAAGGCCCUUCGGGGUACACGAGCGGCGAACGGGUGAGUAACACGUGGGUAACCUGCCCUGUACUGUGGGAUAAGCCUGGGAAACUGGGUCUAAUACCGCAUAUGACUGCAUCCUGCAUGGGGUGUGGUGGAAAGUUCUGGCGGUACAGGAUGGGCCCGCGGCCUAUCAGCUUGUUGGUGGGGUGAUGGCCUACCAAGGCGACGACGGGUAGCCGGCCUGAGAGGGCGACCGGCCACACUGGGACUGAGACACGGCCCAGACUCCUACGGGAGGCAGCAGUGGGGAAUCUUGCGCAAUGGGCGAAAGCCUGACGCAGCGACGCCGCGUGAGGGAUGACGGCCUUCGGGUUGUAACCUCUUUCGACCGGGACGAAGCGUGAGUGACGGUACCGGUAGAAGAAGCACCGGCUAACUACGUGCCAGCAGCCGC